This 75-nucleotide transfer RNA is filed under the name Streptomyces virginiae. RNAcentral describes it as "tRNA-Leu". It matches the Rfam family "tRNA". Rfam says of the family: Transfer RNA (tRNA) molecules are approximately 80 nucleotides in length. The record is from RNAcentral. Lineage: Bacteria; Bacillati; Actinomycetota; Actinomycetes; Kitasatosporales; Streptomycetaceae. RNAcentral also lists the same sequence under 10 other names.
GCGCCCGUACUCCAACUGGCCAGAGAGAAUGGCUUUAGGUGCCAUGUGUUGUCGGUUCGAGUCCGACCGGGCGUA